GUGGGGAAUAUUGGACAAUGGGCGAAAGCCUGAUCCAGCAAUGCCGCGUGAGUGAAGAAGGCCUUCGGGUUGUAAAGCUCUUUUACCCGGGAAGAUAAUGACUGUACCGGGAGAAUAAGCCCCGGCUAACUCCGUGCCAGCAGCCGCGGUAAUACGGAGGGGGCUAGCGUUGUUCGGAAUUACUGGGCGUAAAGCGCACGUAGGCGGUCUUUUAAGUCAGAGGUGAAAGCCCGGGGCUCAACUCCGGAAUUGCCUUUGAAACUGGGAGACGUGAACACGGGAGAGGUGAGUGGAAUUCCGAGUGUAGAGGUGAAAUUCGUAGAUAUUCGGAGGAACACCAGUGGCGAAGGCGGCUCACUGGACCGUUGUUGACGCUGAGGUGCGAAAGCGUGGGGAGCAAACAGGAUUAGAUACCCGGGUAGUCC
RNAcentral lists this ribosomal RNA (425 nucleotides) under uncultured bacterium. Its description in RNAcentral is "partial 16S ribosomal RNA". It matches the Rfam family "Bacterial small subunit ribosomal RNA", at positions 354 to 796 of the family's 1533-position model. The record is from RNAcentral.